Molecule: ribosomal RNA, 453 nt
Filed under: uncultured bacterium
Lineage: Bacteria
Description: bacterial SSU rRNA
Rfam family: Bacterial small subunit ribosomal RNA
Source: RNAcentral
AGAGUUUGAUCAUGGCUCAGAACGAACGCUGGCGGCAUGCCUAACACAUGCAAGUCGAACGAGACCUUCGGGUCUAGUGGCGCACGGGUGCGUAACGCGUGGGAAUCUGCCCUUCGGUUCGGAACAACAGUUAGAGAUGACUGCUAAUACCGGAUAAUGACGUAAGUCCAAAGAUUUAUCGCCGAAGGAUGAGCCCGCGUAAGAUUAGGUAGUUGGUGGGGUAAUGGCCUACCAAGCCGACGAUCUUUAGCUGGUCUGAGAGGAUGAUCAGCCACACUGGGACUGAGACACGGCCCAGACUCCUACGGGAGGCAGCAGUGGGGAAUAUUGGACAAUGGGCGAAAGCCUGAUCCAGCAAUGCCGCGUGAGUGAUGAAGGCCUUAGGGUUGUAAAGCUCUUUUACCAGGGAUGAUAAUGACAGUACCUGGAGAAUAAGCUCCGGCUAACUCCGUG